RNAcentral lists this ribosomal RNA (1810 nucleotides) under Palpitomonas bilix. Its description in RNAcentral is "partial Bacterial large subunit ribosomal RNA". It matches the Rfam family "Bacterial large subunit ribosomal RNA", at positions 1124 to 2925 of the family's 2925-position model. The record is from RNAcentral.
UAAAGAAAGCGUAAUAGCUCACUAGUCGAGUCGGCCUGCGCGGAAGAUGUAACGGGGCUAAGCAAUAUACCGAAGCUGCGGCAGCAUGUUUACAUGCUGGGUAGGGGAGCGUUGUGUAAGUGGAUGAAGGUGAGUUGUAAAGCUUGCUGGACAUAUCACAAGUGCGAAUGCUGACAUGAGUAACGAUAAUGGGAGUGAAAAACUCCCACGCCGGAAGACCAAGGUUUCCUGUCCCAUGCUAAUCAGGGCAGGGUAAGUCGGCCCCUAAGGCGAGGCAGAAAUGCGUAGUCGAUGGGAAACGGGUUAAUAUUCCCGUACUUAUAUAAUCAGUGAUGGAGGGACGGAGAAGGCUAGGCAAGCUUGGCGUUGGUUGUCCAAGUGAAAGCGAGUAGGCCGAGAACUUAGGUAAAUCCGGGUUCUUAAAGCUGAGACGCGAGACGAGCCACUACGGUGGUGAAGUUGUUGAUGCCCUGCUUCCAGGAAAAGCUUCUAAACUUAUGAUUAUAUGAACCGUACCCCAAACCGACACAGGUGGUCAGGUAGAGAAUACUAAGGCGCUUGAGAGAACUCGGGUGAAGGAACUCGGCAAAAUUGUACCGUAACUUCGGGAGAAGGUACGCCCCUGUUUGUGAACACUUUACGUGGUAAGCAGAUGGGGGCCGCAGUGACCAGGUGGCUGGGACUGUUUAUUAAAAACACAGCACUCUGCAAACUCGUAAGAGGACGUAUAGGGUGUGACACCUGCCCGGUGCCGGAAGGUUAAUUGAUGGGGUUAGCGUAAGCGAAGCUCUUGAUCGAAGCCCCGGUAAACGGCGGCCGUAACAAUAACGGUCCUAAGGUAGCGAAAUUCCUUGUCGGGUAAGUUCCGACCUGCACGAAUGGUGUAACCAUGGCCACGCUGUCUCCACCCGAGACUCAGUGAAAUUGAAAUCGCCGUGAAGAUGCGGUGUAUCCGCGGCUAGACGGAAAGACCCCGUGAACCUUUACUAUAGCUUCACAGUGAACUUUGAGCAUGUUUGUGUAGGAUAGCUGGGAGGCUUUGAAGUGGGAACGCCAGUUCUCAUGGAGCCAACCUUGAAAUACCAGCCUGACAUGUUUGAGGUUCUAACUUGGUCCCCUUAUCGGGGAUGAGGACACUGUGUGGUGGGUAGUUUGACUGGGGCGGUCUCCUCCCAAAGCGUAACGGAGGAGCACAAAGGUGGGCUAAGCAUGGUCGGACAUCAUGCGGUUAGUGUAAUGGCACAAGCCCGCUUAACUGCGAGACAGACACGUCGAGCAGGUACGAAAGUAGGUCAUAGUGAUCCGGUGGUUCUGUAUGGAAGGGCCAUCGCUCAACGGAUAAAAGGUACUCCGGGGAUAACAGGCUGAUACCGCCCAAGAGUUCACAUCGACGGCGGUGUUUGGCACCUCGAUGUCGGCUCAUCACAUCCUGGGGCUGAAGCCGGUCCCAAGGGUAUGGCUGUUCGCCAUUUAAAGUGGUACGCGAGCUGGGUUUAGAACGUCGUGAGACAGUUCGGUCCCUAUCUGCCGUGGACGUUGGAGAUUUGAGGAAAGCUGCUCCUAGUACGAGAGGACCGGAGUGGACGAACCUCUGGUGUUCGGGUUGUGACGCCAGUCGCAUUGCCCGGUAGCUAUGUUCGGACAGGAUAACCGCUGAAAGCAUCUAAGCGGGAAGCCCCUUCCAAGAUGAGAUCUCCCUGGACCCUCGAGGUCCCUGAAGAGCCGUUCAAGACCAGGACGUUGAUAGGUCGGGUGUGUAAGCGCUGCGAGGCGUUGAGCUAACCGAUACUAAUUGCUCGUGCGGCUUGAC